RNAcentral lists this ribosomal RNA (781 nucleotides) under uncultured bacterium. Its description in RNAcentral is "bacterial SSU rRNA". It matches the Rfam family "Bacterial small subunit ribosomal RNA", at positions 98 to 868 of the family's 1533-position model. The record is from RNAcentral.
GCGCACGGGUGCGUAACACGUAUGUAACCUACCUUGUUCAGGGGGAUAGCCUCUCGAAAGAGAGAUUAAGACCGCAUAACAUUAUUGAAUGGCAUCGUUUAAUAAUCAAAUAUUUAUAGGAACAAGAUGGGCAUGCGGAACAUUAGCUAGUUGGUAAGGUAACGGCUUACCAAGGCUACGAUGUUUAGGGGAUCUGAGAGGAUGACCCCCCACACUGGUACUGAGACACGGACCAGACUCCUACGGGAGGCAGCAGUGGGGAAUUUUGGACAAUGGGCGCAAGCCUGAUCCAGCCAUGCCGCGUGUCUGAAGAAGGCCUUCGGGUUGUAAAGGACUUUUGUCAGGGAGGAAAUCCCUAGGGCUAAUAUCGCUGGGGGAUGACAGUACCUGAAGAAUAAGCACCGGCUAACUACGUGCCAGCAGCCGCGGUAAUACGUAGGGUGCAAGCGUUAAUCGGAAUUACUGGGCGUAAAGCGUGCGCAGGCGGUUGUGUAAGUCAGAUGUGAAAUCCCCGGGCUCAACCUGGGAACUGCAUUUGAAACUGGCAGGCUUGAGUCUUGUAGAGGGGGGGUAGAAUUCCAGGUGUAGCGGUGAAAUGCGUAGAGAUCUGGAGGAAUACCGGUGGGCGAAAGGCGGCCCCCUGGACAAAGACUGACGCUCAGGUGCGAAAGCGUGGGGAGCAAACAGGAUUAGAUACCCCUGGUAGUCCACGCUGUAAACGAUGYCGACUUGGAGGUUGUUCCCUUGAGGAGUGGCUUCCGGAGCUAACGCGUUAAGUCGA